CAGGAAAUAAACAACGAUUAUUAGGGAAAACCGAAGGGAAUACGGACGCAGUUGUGUAACAAAAUCAUCUCCAACCUGGUUACGCAACAAGGGAGGAACGCGGUUAUGUGGAAAUAUUUUCUUCUCCUUUUCAUUUCGCAAUAGUGACGGUACUAUUUGUAUAGUGAAGUAACAGAAUUCUGAGAGUGGCUUUUAUCAAUCGACGAUACGUCAUUUGAUCGAGUGUACUCGGAAUCCUGAAGAAUUGUUUAUGAAUUGCGCAUACAAGUUGAACAUUCGAAUGUGACAAAUCCAAGAGGAAAGACAAGCUCUCCAGGUGCAAUCGCUCGGAGGAUAUUUUCGCAUGGACGUGCGUUCCCACUACUGUUUGCUGAAUAAACGCGCACGUACUGGUUCAAAGAAUAAGAACGUAUUGGAAUACGGCUACUCAUAAUGUGAUCCAAAAAUGCAAUAACAAAAGCACCGGGCACAGUUUUCUACACAAACAGAACACCCGAUCAUCCGAUAAUCAUCCGAUCUUGCACCUCGCAAGAUAUACUCGCGCAUCUACACGUUAAAAGAUAAAUAUAAAACCUGAAGAGAAAAUAUCACGUAUAAACUUGGCUAGGAAUUAAAAUUCAUCUUGGAUAUAGUGAUUAAAACAUGGUUUGCACGAUGCGUCCUACAAACGCAACGGGCGAGCGAGACUUAAUUGCUCAAUAAUGCAAUCCAAAUUAUCGCAAUUUGCUGAUGAAGUUAUCUGUCUGGUAGAUCUUUCCGAGAUGCGAGACGCGGUAAACCAAGUCGUGCUUUUCUUUUUUUUCUUUCCUCUUUCCGUAAGCUCGUAACAGACGUAUUUUCCGCGCGACAAUCCCAAUCGCGCGAGGCGUAUUCGGAGUUCGCCGUGUGUGGCAAUUGGAAGCUAUUCAUUUCCCGCAAUAGAUACUCCCCGCAAUCGUGCUAAUUUCCUCCGUUCGCUUAAAGCUACGCUCACGGCGAAUGUUUAACGUCGAACGUGUACCGGUGAACUCGAUUCUCAUCCCGCGUUUCUAUAGAGGGAGAACGAACGCGCGCUUUAAAAUCAGAUGAACAAUACUCAUGACACGGUCGCUCGCUCGCCGGCAAGUAAAUCGAUCUCAAUCGCAAUUUUUAUUACGAUAUAUUAUACUUUUGGGUACAACAAUAUUUUGAUUGUCAUCGUAACAACUGCACGAUUAAAUUCCCUUGAUAUUCGUCGGCUGAAAAAUAAGAUAUCAUCUCGAUGUGCAACAUCGCGAAAGGAUAUGAAAUCCAAUCGGCCGCGAUCGCCUGGAAAUAAUCUACCGGCAAAUUGCGAUGCGCUUCUCGAUAAAUUCAUUUACUUUAUUUCUGUUCGAGUGUUCGCGAACAGAGGGAGACUUUGUACAAGCUGCACCCCUUAAAUUAAAUUGACCCCUAACCUUAGCGUCCACGUAAACAACCAUAAUCGGAGGCGCAGUUGCUCCGAUCUCGGAUACUCUUUUACAGAAGAAAUCGAUGAAGGGAAUCUUGAUGCCGACAACCAUUCGAUAUGGCAAAAAUCCAAUUCAGAUUUCUUCGUAAAAGAAAAAAGAAGAAAAUAAGAAAAAGAGGCCAGAUUAACUUUAAUUAAAUUCCGAUAUUCGGGAGAAGUAGUACGCGGUCCUUAUUUUUAUGUUGACUGCAUAAAGUAAUUUCGCUACAAGGUAAAGAAUUAAAGAAAUAAAAAAAGAAAAGGAAAUUAAAAAUAUAUUCUUAUACUGGGCGCGUUUUCUAGCGUUUCGGGACAGAGAUCUGAAAUAUUAGUAGGAAGCCACCGUAUAUUUAGAUACACGAGACAAUUUUUUCUUCUCACAAAAUAACUACCAGUUGCUUUUAUGUAGCUAUACGCGUUACCUCAUUCACGCAAAUGUACGAUGUGCUACUUUUGGAUCUCAUUCAUAGAAAAGCUACGAGGAAGAACCACGCGUAUCUCUGCUCAGCUCUCUGUUUCAGCUAUAAAA
Molecule: long non-coding RNA, 1979 nt
Filed under: Ooceraea biroi (clonal raider ant)
Lineage: Eukaryota; Metazoa; Arthropoda; Insecta; Hymenoptera; Formicidae
Description: uncharacterized LOC105287221
Source: RNAcentral